CCUUAUUCCCAGGGACACCCUUUUUUUCUUUUUUACUUUAUCACAUUAUAACUGUUCUGAUCUCUUGUGGGAGAUACACACGCUACAAUCCUGACACAUAGUCUGAGCUGUAGAUCCACAAAUCCAGCAGCAGAAUAGGGUAGAUUAUACAGCCUAGUUAACAACACCGCUUCUGUCACACGAUAAAUUACCAGCAACCACUGACUCACAGGUGUCAACUAACAUAUAAGCUACCCAUGCUAUAUACUCUUAUUCUCGCAUAUUAAGGCUCAAUGUUCACAACUAUAAUCUAGCAUAUUGAUUUGGUUCUUAGUAUUACACUUCUUUUUUUUUGUUGUUUUUUUAUUAAUUAGGCCUACUCACAAACGAUUCACUGUGUAAUGAUACACGCUUCCAAUGUUAAUUUUGAAUUUUACAUAUAUGAUUUAUUAUGCUGCAUUGAACGCUCGUAUUAUGAUUUUCUUCUCAAGCUUAUAUAAUUUGGAUGGAAGGAGGGCCUGACACACUGUUGCAAACAUGGGAUUUCUUACACACCAAGCCCCACACCAUUCAAUACCGCUAUUUGUUAUGUCUAUAAUGUAUGCACUCAUAUAAUUCUCGUGUAUUUAAAUGAGUGUUAAUGCAGGUACCUGAAGUUACUACAGAGAGUUCAGAAUAUUUCACUUUUUUGGGUUUAUUUACGCACAACCAAAAUGAGGUUUCGUUAUUUUUAAGUUCGUUUAGCACAC
Non-coding RNA from Pelobates cultripes (western spadefoot toad), 728 nucleotides. NCBI's taxonomy places the organism in Eukaryota, Metazoa, Chordata, Amphibia, Anura, Pelobatidae. The record is from the annotation of a GenBank genome assembly.